This is a long non-coding RNA of Heteronotia binoei (common prickly gecko), 734 nucleotides long. RefSeq lists it as uncharacterized. The record is from RefSeq and is a predicted model, not a curated record. The transcript has 2 exons. NCBI's taxonomy places the organism in Eukaryota, Metazoa, Chordata, Lepidosauria, Squamata, Gekkonidae.
GUUCUGCCUGGCCGCUGAGUGGUGGAUUCGGCUGCUUUCAAACCUCGCCGGCCGCAACUGAGAAAGAGCGGGCGGGGUGUAGCUGCUUUCUCAAACAGCGGAAGGAAGAGCUCAGAAGUAUUUUGGAAAUCGGCUGGGAGGCAGCCUAGUUUUUAAGCUUGUUUACUCGGAAGUAAGCCUCGUUGAAUUUAAUAGAGCUUUACUUCCAAAUUGGCGGUUGUUUUAAUCCGCUCUCCUGUUCAGUGGGUUGGCAGAAAUGCUUUUCUAAAGGAAAAGAUCUCGUACUCUUACUUUUUUAAAGGAAAAGAGUUCUGGUCGAUCUCUUACUUUUUUAUUGGCUUUGGAGUAGAGUUUUUACGAUGUUGUGUGCAUAACCUGAAAAGAAGCGUACUAGAGAGCUGUCGGAGGUCGUGGGAAGCUGCUGCUAGUAGGAUGGGUCCGUUGCAGGGGAGGAAGGUGAUUCCCUUUUCCACAGAAAAGGCAGAAAUGAAAGUUCCCUUCCACAUUUGGCGGUAUCGCAAUAAUGUAGAAGUGCAAAUGUGUUGUUUAUGAAUUCCUUCGCAAAAAGAACAUCCAAGAAGAGUUUGAGAUUUCAGAUAAUGAGAAGGAAAGAAAGAGGAUGGCAGGGUUAGAAAACAAACUUGUUCCAGAGUCAGAGUCUAACUUGUUUCAGAUGUACAAAGCUGAGGGGUGCUGAAAAACUAUAUCAUGAUUAAAUAAACUUUUUGUUAUUA